GUGCAUCUCAGUCCACGUUGGCCAGGCAGGCUUUCAGAUCGGGAACGCCUGCUGGGAAGUCUACUGCCUUGAACACGGGAUCCAGCCGGACGGCCAGAUGCCGAGUGACAAGGCCAUCGGAGGAGGAGACGACUCGUUCAACACUGUCUUUAGUGAGGCCGGGGCGGGAAAGCACGUCCCCAGAGCCGUCUUUGUGGACCUGGAGCCCACUUUUAUUGCUGAUCACCGGGAAGGAGGAUGCUGCUAACAACUACGCCCGGGGACACUACACCAUCAGAAAGGAGAUCAUUGACCUGUUCUGGACAGGACCCGGAAACUGGCGGACCAGUGCACCGGGCUUCAGGGCCUUCUGAUCUUCCACAGCUUUGGUGGAGGAACUGGCUCUGGUUUCACCUCCCUGCUGAUGGCAGUAAGGUAUAACCGCAGCGCUGU
Fundulus heteroclitus (mummichog) is the source of this 432-nucleotide long non-coding RNA. RefSeq lists it as uncharacterized. NCBI's taxonomy places the organism in Eukaryota, Metazoa, Chordata, Actinopteri, Cyprinodontiformes, Fundulidae. The transcript has 3 exons. The record is from RefSeq and is a predicted model, not a curated record.